UGGGGAAUAUUGCACAAUGGGCGAAAGCCUGAUGCAGCAACGCCGCGUGAGUGAAGAAGGUUUUCGGAUUGUAAAGCUCUGUCUUUUGGGACGAUAAUGACGGUACCCAAGGAGGAAGCCACGGCUAACUACGUGCCAGCAGCCGCGGUAAUACGUAGGUGGCAAGCGUUGUCCGGAAUUACUGGGCGUAAAGGGUGCGUAGGCGGAUAUUUAAGUGAGAUGUGAAAUACCCGGGCUUAACCAGGGCGCUGCAUUUCAAACUGGAUAUCUAGAGUGCGGGAGAGGAGAAUGGAAUUCCUAGUGUAGCGGUGAAAUGCGUAGAGAUUAGGAAGAACACCAGUGGCGAAGGCGAUUCUCUGGACCGUAACUGACGCUGAGGCACGAAAGCGUGGGUAGCAAACAGGAUUAGAUACCCUGGUAGUCCACGCCGUAAACGAUGAGUACUAGGUGUAGGAGGUAUC
Molecule: ribosomal RNA, 461 nt
Filed under: uncultured bacterium
Lineage: Bacteria
Description: bacterial SSU rRNA
Rfam family: Bacterial small subunit ribosomal RNA
Source: RNAcentral